This 253-nucleotide ribosomal RNA is filed under the name uncultured bacterium. Its description in RNAcentral is "partial 16S ribosomal RNA". It matches the Rfam family "Bacterial small subunit ribosomal RNA", at positions 524 to 776 of the family's 1533-position model. The record is from RNAcentral.
UACAGAGGGGGCGAGCGUUAUUCGGAAUUAUUGGGCGUAAAGGGCGCGUAGGCGGCUAAGUAAGUCUCGGGUGAAAUCCCUCGGCUCAACCGAGGAACUGCCUUGGAAACUGCUUGGCUUGAGGCCGGGAGAGGAUGGUGGAAUUCCCAGUGUAGCGGUGAAAUGCGUAGAGAUUUGGAGGAACACCAGUGGCGAAGGCGACUUUCUGGUCUGUAACUGACACUGAGGCGCGAAAGCGUGGGGAGCAAACAGG